RNAcentral lists this transfer RNA (71 nucleotides) under Cavia porcellus (domestic guinea pig). It matches the Rfam family "tRNA". From Rfam's summary of the family: Transfer RNA (tRNA) molecules are approximately 80 nucleotides in length. Their secondary structure includes four short double-helical elements and three loops (D, anti-codon, and T loops). The record is from Rfam by way of RNAcentral. Lineage: Eukaryota; Metazoa; Chordata; Mammalia; Rodentia; Caviidae.
GGGGAUUUAGCUCAGUGGCAUAAGCACCUGCCUUGCAAGCAGGAGGUCGUGAGUUCGAUCCUUGGUCCCGA